This 350-nucleotide transfer-messenger RNA is filed under the name bacterium. Its description in RNAcentral is "JACIXR01 sp014360495 Standard tmRNA". It matches the Rfam family "transfer-messenger RNA". Rfam says of the family: Bacterial tmRNA, also known as 10Sa RNA or SsrA, is named for its dual tRNA and mRNA-like properties. The record is from RNAcentral.
GGGGGCGCGUGGUCUCGACGGGAAGUGGAGGUUGCAGGCUGCGAGCCGAGGUCGCCGCAGACCUCGUAAAAAAUGCGGCGAAAAAUAAGUGCCAACCACUCUUACGCGCUCGCUGCUUAAUUGAAGUAGCGACGUCUCCUCAUCCUUGCCGAGGGGGUGAGAGAGGCGCCAUAUACUCGGCUGCCCCAUAGGCUCCGCCCUUGGGCUUAUGGGAAAGCUCAAAGGGGCUAUGCUUUAACCAAUCCUGCCUUUGGGAGUGGUUAAAGUGAAAAGCAAAACAAAGGCUACGCUCGUAGACGCCUGAGGCUGAAGCUUUCCGGACACGGGUUCAACUCCCGUCGCCUCCACCA